GACGAACGCUGGCGGCGUGCCUAAUACAUGCAAGUCGAGCGAACAGACCAGGAGCUUGCUCCUCUGACGUUAGCGGCGGACGGGAGAGUAACACGUGGAUAACCUACCUAUAAGACGGGGAUAACUACGGGAAACGGGAGCUUAUACCGGAUAAUAUCUUGAACCGCGUUGUUCAAUAGUAAGAGUCGGUUUUGCUGUCACUAAUAGCUGGAUCCGCGCCGGAUUAGCUAGUUGGUAAGGUAACGGCUUACCAAGGCGAGGAUGCGUAGCCGACCUGAGAGGGUGGUAGCCCACACGGGAAGUGAGACAGGGUCCAGACUCCUGCGGGAGGCAGCAGUAGGGAAUCUUACGCAAUGGGGGAAAGCCUGACGGAGCAACGCGGCGUGAGUUAUGAAGGUGUUGGGAUCGGAAAGCUCUGUUAUUAGGGAUGAACAAAUGUGUAAGUAACUGUGCAGGUAUUGACGGUACCUGGUCAGAAAGCCCCGGCUAACUACGUG
Molecule: ribosomal RNA, 497 nt
Filed under: uncultured bacterium
Lineage: Bacteria
Description: partial 16S ribosomal RNA
Rfam family: Bacterial small subunit ribosomal RNA
Source: RNAcentral